This is a long non-coding RNA of Thamnophis sirtalis, 777 nucleotides long. RefSeq lists it as uncharacterized. The record is from RefSeq and is a predicted model, not a curated record. NCBI's taxonomy places the organism in Eukaryota, Metazoa, Chordata, Lepidosauria, Squamata, Natricidae.
UUCUUCCAGAGUGUUUUCAAGAAGAUGCUCCAGUCCUGGAUACAUUUUGCUAUCUUUUUCUAGUGUAACCAUUUUCAAUUCAAGGAAUUCUUUGAUCCCCAGACAGAAGUCUAUUUUGUCUGCUCAUUCUGAAAUCUAUGGCAUUACAGCUGCAUGUAGCUCUUUAACUUCCAUAGUUCCCUCUGAAUGUACCACUGAACUUAAAUUUCUCAUUUUUUUCAGGUUGGAAACAGAGAAGAAAAAUAGCAUAAGCCUUAGGUUCGUGGUAAUAGCUGACUGAAUUCAUCAGGGGUCAGAAAAUAAGCAGUACUGGAUCUGACCCUGCUUGCUGGAACAUCUGCUUUAGGAAAAGCCUGUGCGGUGAGAAGUUGCAACGUAGAGCUGAAAGCAUGUGAAUAGAUUCAUGAGGGAAUGUUGUUUGCCUCUUCAAUUGCAUCAUGGCUCCAUCACUGCGGGGAAAUUUGAUUUAUGAAGCUCAGCUACCACGUCUGUUCUGUGCUCCUGUUUUGUUGCUUAUUUUAGAAACACCAGCAUGGGCUCCUGAUUGGCUACUUUCCUCCCCGAGUAACGUGAUGAUUGGUUGCGCACUCACACUUCGUUGUGUGGGUCUCGCGCCUGUUUGAUUGUGUGUGCAGCGUGCUGCAUACCAAUGGGGUAGGAUAAAGCAAGAAGCCUUUGGAAGCAACUGUUGUGAUCUCGAGGAGAUGUCCUUGAUAGAGCUUUUUCAGCUUUUUCAGCUUAUUAAAAAGGCAAACCAUAUGCCUUUAACCACAGCCA